This 72-nucleotide transfer RNA is filed under the name Dendronephthya gigantea. RNAcentral's name for it is "tRNA-Glu". It matches the Rfam family "tRNA". Rfam says of the family: Transfer RNA (tRNA) molecules are approximately 80 nucleotides in length. Their secondary structure includes four short double-helical elements and three loops (D, anti-codon, and T loops). The record is from RNAcentral. Lineage: Eukaryota; Metazoa; Cnidaria; Anthozoa; Malacalcyonacea; Nephtheidae.
UCCCAAGUGGUCUAGUGGCUAGGAUCUGGCGUUUUCACCGCCAUUGCCCGGGUUCGAUUCCCGGCGUGGGAA